RNAcentral lists this ribosomal RNA (1527 nucleotides) under Escherichia coli. RNAcentral's name for it is "partial 23S ribosomal RNA". It matches the Rfam family "Bacterial large subunit ribosomal RNA", at positions 354 to 1869 of the family's 2925-position model. Lineage: Bacteria; Pseudomonadati; Pseudomonadota; Gammaproteobacteria; Enterobacterales; Enterobacteriaceae. The record is from RNAcentral.
GCGAUACAGGGUGACAGCCCCGUACACAAAAAUGCACAUGCUGUGAGCUCGAUGAGUAGGGCGGGACACGUGGUAUCCUGUCUGAAUAUGGGGGGACCAUCCUCCAAGGCUAAAUACUCCUGACUGACCGAUAGUGAACCAGUACCGUGAGGGAAAGGCGAAAAGAACCCCGGCGAGGGGAGUGAAAAAGAACCUGAAACCGUGUACGUACAAGCAGUGGGAGCACGCUUAGGCGUGUGACUGCGUACCUUUUGUAUAAUGGGUCAGCGACUUAUAUUCUGUAGCAAGGUUAACCGAAUAGGGGAGCCGAAGGGAAACCGAGUCUUAACUGGGCGUUAAGUUGCAGGGUAUAGACCCGAAACCCGGUGAUCUAGCCAUGGGCAGGUUGAAGGUUGGGUAACACUAACUGGAGGACCGAACCGACUAAUGUUGAAAAAUUAGCGGAUGACUUGUGGCUGGGGGUGAAAGGCCAAUCAAACCGGGAGAUAGCUGGUUCUCCCCGAAAGCUAUUUAGGUAGCGCCUCGUGAAUUCAUCUCCGGGGGUAGAGCACUGUUUCGGCAAGGGGGUCAUCCCGACUUACCAACCCGAUGCAAACUGCGAAUACCGGAGAAUGUUAUCACGGGAGACACACGGCGGGUGCUAACGUCCGUCGUGAAGAGGGAAACAACCCAGACCGCCAGCUAAGGUCCCAAAGUCAUGGUUAAGUGGGAAACGAUGUGGGAAGGCCCAGACAGCCAGGAUGUUGGCUUAGAAGCAGCCAUCAUUUAAAGAAAGCGUAAUAGCUCACUGGUCGAGUCGGCCUGCGCGGAAGAUGUAACGGGGCUAAACCAUGCACCGAAGCUGCGGCAGCGACGCUGAUGCGUUGUUGGGUAGGGGAGCGUUCUGUAAGCCUGCGAAGGUGUGCUGUGAGGCAUGCUGGAGGUAUCAGAAGUGCGAAUGCUGACAUAAGUAACGAUAAAGCGGGUGAAAAGCCCGCUCGCCGGAAGACCAAGGGUUCCUGUCCAACGUUAAUCGGGGCAGGGUGAGUCGACCCCUAAGGCGAGGCCGAAAGGCGUAGUCGAUGGGAAACAGGUUAAUAUUCCUGUACUUGGUGUUACUGCGAAGGGGGGACGGAGAAGGCUAUGUUGGCCGGGCGACGGUUGUCCCGGUUUAAGCGUGUAGGCUGGUUUUCCAGGCAAAUCCGGAAAAUCAAGGCUGAGGCGUGAUGACGAGGCACUACGGUGCUGAAGCAACAAAUGCCCUGCUUCCAGGAAAAGCCUCUAAGCAUCAGGUAACAUCAAAUCGUACCCCAAACCGACACAGGUGGUCAGGUAGAGAAUACCAAGGCGCUUGAGAGAACUCGGGUGAAGGAACUAGGCAAAAUGGUGCCGUAACUUCGGGAGAAGGCACGCUGAUAUGUAGGUGAAGUCCCUCGCGGAUGGAGCUGAAAUCAGUCGAAGAUACCAGCUGGCUGCAACUGUUUAUUAAAAACACAGCACUGUGCAAACACGAAAGUGGACGUAUACGGUGUGACGCCUGCCCGGUGC